Long non-coding RNA from Clupea harengus (Atlantic herring), 2006 nucleotides. The record is from Ensembl. Lineage: Eukaryota; Metazoa; Chordata; Actinopteri; Clupeiformes; Clupeidae.
UCACUCUUGUACCUCAUUUUCUGUUUGCAAUGACUUAUUUUCAUUUGAUGAGAGUGAUCCUUGCCUUGUAAUACAAGUUACAAGUCUGAAUCUUUCUGGUCCUUUGCUCAAGACACAUUGUGACCCUUUUCUUACCACAAUUCCCCUUGAGGUUCGUGCAGCUUGCCUAUUCUUGUGCCUAUUAGCCCUUCACCCCAUCAUCUCCAUUGAUCUACGCAUGUCGCUAGCUUAUAAACAUUCAAACAAAAAGUGGAAUAAAUACAUUUGGAUUAUUGUUAUCAAUUUCCCAUCUCAGUCACAUAGAGCAAUAAUGUUUAUUUUUCUACUUUUGAUCAUCCUGCUUGUGUGGUAACAAGGACAGGUAAUGUUGGUUAUAGUCAUCAAGGAUGCUAAGACAUUGCCUAGGGCAGAAGUUUCUCAUUAUAUGCUUAAAGAAAAUGCAAAAACCUUACAAAACCUUAAAAAUUACAGCAAUCUAAAUUUCAUCAAAUACACUUUCAUUGGCCAUUUGAACUAUGCUGAUAUUUUGAGAAGGACAGGAAACUGGCGGUUGCUCAUCUCAGAGCUUAUCUUAACUUCUAAUUAGAUAAAAAAAGUUAAUAGUUAUCUGGUAGUAGAUAUACACAGCUAUUAUAUUAUUAGAAAGAAAGCAUAACAUUGAGUGUUCAGUUUACUUGUACAAGACGUGAAGCAAAACACUCUGAAACAUUUCAAAUAUUUGUUUUAAUAUUGCAGAUUCUUGUGUCAUAUAUUGCAGUUCAACCACAGGUGGUUGAUAAUGAACUGUCAGGACAAAGAGCAUGUUGGUUAUAGUGAGACAGAUACAGAUAUAGAGUCAUCAGAGGACAGAACCAUGGAAAACAUUUGAAAAAUUUUCAAUCAGCGUUAUUGUGUGUCUGGAACUGACUAUUUGGUAGAAUUUUAGACAUUAGACAUUUUAGAGGGGUGACAUUUUGCCAGAGAGAAUGUAAGACUACAUUAACGUGCAAAGCACAUUCUAGUCUUGGGAAUGUGUAUACUUCUGUCCAAAGGUACAUUGUUAUCAUACUCCAUGUCCGUCAGCAGAUGGCAGCAGAGACACUUAAGUCCCAGAGACUCUGCCCCAGUAGCCAUUGCACCAGUGUCCACACCUGAGGCUUGUUUUACCUGUUCCAGCUUGAUUUGAAGUGUGUUUGCUACUGGUCUGCUCUGUGAAACCUCUGUUCUGUGAGUACUGUUUGUGACCUGAGUCCUGGUCUGCUCUGUAAAACCUCUGUUCUGUGUGUACUGUUUGUGACCUGAGUACUGGUCUUCUCUGUGAAACCUCUCUUCUGUGAGUACUGUUUGUGACCUGAGUCCUGGUGUGUGCUAUAAAACCUCUCUUCUGUGUGUACUGUUUGUGACCUGAGUCCUGGUGUGUGCUAUAAAACCUCUCUUCUGUGAGUACUGUUUGUGGCCUGAGUCCUCAUGGAGUGGGGAUUUGAGUCGCUGUAAACUGGCACUUGUGCUCUAUUCAUCCGUGUGACAGUUGGCAGGUAUGCACAGAUCGAGACAAAUCACUGGUUAUUCACAGCAUGUAUAUAAUGUAUAUUAUAUAUUGUAUAAAAUGUGUUAUAUACAAUAUACAAUAUUAUAUAAUGUAUAUAAUGUGUGUGUAUAUAUAUAUAUAUACACACACACGCUGUGAAUAACCAUUAUAUAAAAUGUUAUUCUUUUCUGAGGGAUGCGUUUUUAAAUGUGUACGCUAAAAGUCUUGAAACAAAUGUUUUCAAGCAGGUGUCCCCAGACCCCAGAAGUAAGGCAGUGGUGUUCUUCGAUCACUGGCAGGUGACAGCUGGCAUGCUGACAGCAAGACCACCCUUACGCUCAGAACGUUUUAUUUUGUAUUUAUUUUUUUUUUUUAGAUACUAGUGACUGCGUCUGAAGUUCCUUGGUCACGUAGCUGGCCUGCAUGUACUGGAUUAUGUCAAAUGCAUACAGGGCUCACAAGGCUACACACACACACACACACACACACACACACACAC